GUUUUAAUAGUUUAUAAAAAACCUUGGUCUUGUAAACCAAAAAAGAAAUUAAUUUCUUAAAGCU
Molecule: transfer RNA, 64 nt
Filed under: Caenis robusta
Lineage: Eukaryota; Metazoa; Arthropoda; Insecta; Ephemeroptera; Caenidae
Description: tRNA-Thr
Source: RNAcentral